AGGGAAUCUUCCACAAUGGACGCAAGUCUGAUGGAGCAACGCCGCGUGAGUGAAGAAGGUUUUCGGACCGUAAAGCUCUGUUGUUGGUGAAGAAGGAUAGAGGUAGUAACUGGCCUUUAUUUGACGGUAAUCAACCAGAAAGUCACGGCUAACUACGUGCCAGCAGCCGCGGUAAUCGUAGGUGGCAAGCGUUGUCCGGAUUUAUUGGGCGUAAAGCGAGCGCAGCGGAAGAAUAAGUC
Molecule: ribosomal RNA, 239 nt
Filed under: uncultured bacterium
Lineage: Bacteria
Description: partial 16S ribosomal RNA
Rfam family: Bacterial small subunit ribosomal RNA
Source: RNAcentral